GAACGGUAACCGAUAAUGUUAAAACAUGUUUGUUUAAGUCCAACCGUAAUCAGAUACCACACUACUAGAAACUGAUAUCAUCCUAAAUCAUUAUUGUUGCAAUUUACGUUAGUGGAGAAUCUUUAGGGCUUGUUCGGUUAUUUUCAAUCCAUAUGGAUUGGAGAGGAUCGAUACGGAUUGGAGGGGAUUUUGACUUACCAGGGAUUUAAACCCCUCAAUCCCCUCAAUCCAUAUGGAUUGGGGUAGAACCGAACAAGCCCUUAGCGGGCAGGGCUAGCAACUCACAAUGUGAAGAGUGGGCGUAGCCGAACACCUCAAGACUGAUUUCAUGGCUGUAUUACAUGCCAAGUGCUUUUCCGACGCAAUUUGACAAUUUUUUUUGUAGAACCUGUUUCUUCGGUUUUGUGGAAGAGGCAUCUGUCCAAUUACGGGUCGCACUCUGGGAAAGAAUUUCAGUUUUGCUUGUAUGAUCAGGAACACAUUUUUUUUCACAGGUACGGUACGGUGAUGGAAAAUUGAAAUUUG
This 525-nucleotide long non-coding RNA is filed under the name Zea mays. Its description in RNAcentral is "long non-coding RNA (ZMAY_LNC004590)". The record is from RNAcentral. Lineage: Eukaryota; Viridiplantae; Streptophyta; Magnoliopsida; Poales; Poaceae.